UUGACCUCGAAUCAGGGUAG
RNAcentral lists this ribosomal RNA (20 nucleotides) under Ephelis sp. H-himeh. RNAcentral describes it as "partial 28S rRNA". The record is from RNAcentral. Lineage: Eukaryota; Fungi; Ascomycota; Sordariomycetes; Hypocreales; Clavicipitaceae.